CUGGUUUUACUGUAAGUUUUGUUUGGGAACAUAAUAACAUAAUGAAUAACAGACAAUGCAUGAGAGUUUUUCCAAUUCCUAGUCUCGCCAUACCUGAUUAAAAGGACAAAUAUCAGUUCAUUUAAGGAUUGAUUUGCUUAUUCAUGUCAAUUAGGUCUGCUACCAACGCAGUCAAAUAUAUCUUGCUGGUCAUACUGGAUAUCGGCACUUUUCAGUUUAUUGCACAUGGGUAUCACCUCUGGUUUCUUGAGGAAUUUAUUGAUUUGUAGGUUCGCAGCUAUGAGCUGAUGGGCUACCAGUCUGUCUCCACCUGGAAGGCCUUUAAUUCUUACAUCCCAGUUGGUUUGGUGAGACCCCUUCGCACCCUCUCAGAGGUAACAUUCAGAUAUCUGUAAUUCAUUUCCCCCGUUGUGUUUCCCCCCAGUGAUGUGUAGUUUCCCUCUGUAUGUUUUUUGCUCUUUAGGUUGAGGUGUUGCUCAGUGAGGAAGAGGAGGAGAUCGCUCAUUUGUCCUUCACUGCUCCUGAGGCUCUGCUGGGACCCCCCAUUGCAAACCCCUUCAGAAUCUUUGUAACGCCAUCUCUCUGCAUGAGCCUUUAUUUUGUGUGUAUACUUAUAAUUGGAUUGACCAUAUUUAUCUGCUCAUGUCCUUUAGAACCCUGCUCCAGGCCUGCGGGCGUACAAACCCACACUGAAAUACUUGGAGGGGGACCUGGAGUGGCACCUGUGCCCACUGCCCAGGUAUCAAACGUGUGAACACGACACGAGUGGCAGAAAGAUAAAGUUAGCAAAGCAAAAGGUAGAUUUGACUUGAAGCAGUGCUGGAUUUAGCAUUUUAGCAGCACGUUGUUUCUGGAUUAAAGCUUCAAAUCUGUUGCCCACAGGACGUGAUUGUAGGACUCAUGACCUGGAAGAACUUUGACUGGAUUACCUUAAACUGUCUCUCCAUGCGACCUGCUGCCACCAAUAAUGUCCUCAGGUCUCCACAAAACCCACCCAGAAUGUAAAUAUAUUUUUUUAAGUCAUGCCAUCUUUUCGAUGGAUUUCCAGAUGGAAAUCCAGUAUUAUUUCUGCAACUUCCACAAAUUGUCCAUGUGGUGCUUCCACUCUCUGCAUUUAAUUUUUUUUAAAUAGUCAUUUGACAUCUGUAAUCCAAAUUAUAUUGUUUUGACAAGUUAUUGUAAUGUUCCAAUUCCGAAGAAUUGUUAUCAUUCCCAUCUGAUGAACGUAUGAAGAUUUCAGCAUUUGUCAUUUUUCCAGCUAUGUAAAAGAUCCCAACAUGUAUCGUAUCGUGAACAAAUCUCGUGAUCCGUAUCGUAUUGUGAGGGCCACGCCACUACCCGCCCUACCCACCUGUGUCUUCGUUCACCACUGAUUGUGUUAGAUUCAAGGCGUCCUUGAUGAGGAUUUGAGUAUGUUUAAUAUGAUUUCUGGGAAUUCUCUGACCGUUCCUUCCUUUAAUAUGGAUGUCUGCAGUGAUCGCAGCCUCUUGCUUCUUCUUUUGUGGCUGUGACUGUAGUGCCAUCAGGUGUCAGUGAUCUGUCCAGAUUAGGGGCUUCUCUGAAACCUUAUCAGCAUUUUCGUUCCGUUGUUUUUCCCUCCGGCCUUUUUAUCAUUUCUGUUUAUUCUCUGAUAGCAAACCACCUUAAGCAGCUGUUUCAUCCAAGUAAGAUGGUGCAUGUAUCUUGAUUUGGUAAGCGUGUGGUCCGGCUCUCCAGGGGGAGAUAAAUGAAAAUGUGUUUGUCCUCUGUAGGUCUGUCGACUCCAGCACUGAUCUACUUCCAUCCAUGACACCUCCUCCUCUGACGGCUCCUCCUGAUGAUCUGCUCCCAACAGCAGACACAGCGUAAGACCAUCAGACCUAAAGAUUGAUGAUCCUCUAUCAUGUUUCCAUAUCAUUGCUGUGAUAUAUGACGCGAGCAGGUGCCAAGGCUCGGCAGUUCAGCUAACACCAGAGAUGAUAAGAGCACAGUUCUUGCGUGGGGAAGCUCCGGUCUCCAAUAGCAACCGUGACAACGGAGCAACAGGAAGGUGAGUCUAACGCCAUGAUGGAUGCCUGAAAGAUGUCGUUAUGUUGGGUGCAAAGGAGGCUGAAGUUUGCUUACGUUUUCCUCACCAUAAAUAGGAGCACUGUUGAAGUAUAUUUAUAUAAAUACUCAUGACAAAUAACACUUCUGGAGGGGUUCUGAGACAGGAAGUCUCAGGAUAAACACAAAUGGGG
This 2219-nucleotide long non-coding RNA is filed under the name Takifugu rubripes (torafugu). RNAcentral's name for it is "lncRNA (ENSTRUG00000033089.1)". Lineage: Eukaryota; Metazoa; Chordata; Actinopteri; Tetraodontiformes; Tetraodontidae. The record is from RNAcentral.